CCUACGGGUGGCAGCAGUGGGGGAUAUUGCACAAUGGGGGAAACCCUGAUGCAGCGACGCCGCGUGAGGGAAGAAGUACUUCGGUAUGUAAAGCUCUAUCAGUAGGGAAGAAAAUGACAGUACCUGACCAAGAAGCUCCGGCUAACUACGUGCCAGCAGCCGCGGUAAUACGUAGGGGGCAAGCGUUAUCCGGAUUUAGUGGGUGUAAAGGGUGCGUAGGCGGGCUGGAAAGUCAGCGGUCAAAGCCGUGGGCUCAACCCGGGGCCGCCGUUGAAACGGGCUGUCUUGAGUUGGGGAGAGGCAGGCGGAAGGCGGGGUGUAGCGGUGAAAUGCGUAGAUAUCAGGAAGAACUCCGAUGGCGAAGGCAGCCUGCGGGCU
Molecule: ribosomal RNA, 378 nt
Filed under: uncultured bacterium
Lineage: Bacteria
Description: partial 16S ribosomal RNA
Rfam family: Bacterial small subunit ribosomal RNA
Source: RNAcentral